Molecule: long non-coding RNA, 1350 nt
Organism: Mytilus californianus (California mussel)
Lineage: Eukaryota; Metazoa; Mollusca; Bivalvia; Mytilida; Mytilidae
Exons: 4
Source: RefSeq, a predicted model, not a curated record
UCGAGACAGCCAAACAUGAAUCAAAUUUUAGAUAUAAAGUUAUGAAACUGAUGAACCAUUUAGAAAUGGUGUUACGUUGCAUUUUUGGAUAGUCAUUAUUUACAUUGUUCAGGGUGGCCUAGUCGUCAUUCUGGCGGGAUCUUAAGCUAGGAAUGUUAUUCAGGAGAAGAAAAGUUGAGUUUCAGAAAAAUUAACGCUCCUAGCAUUCAUUGCUUCAAACCAUAUCGCCACAUCUUUGACUGCCAAAAAUGUGUACGAUGAUUACAAGAGGAAAUAUACAACAAUUGUUACAGUAGAAAGUCGUCUGAAAAAUUAUGCAUUGCCUGCGGCCAUUAGGAUAAAAAACGCAACUGCCAUGGAAAUAAGUAGCCAUAUGGUACAUUUGGACAGUCAGCACUAUCGAUUCCCACCUGUGUUGAAACAGAGUAGCUGUUCCUUUUGUCAGGUGGAGAACUGUAUGAAAACAGACUGCAUCAAUUUAGUAACUGUGAUACAAUGUAUAAAUGACACUGUAUCGUCAAUGCCUGAAUUGUCAUGUGACAUAAAUGGAUUAAUAAAGGAGCUGGAUCUCAUACAUGAUUGGAUGAACUGUACACGUCAUACUCAAGGAUGUGGAUUACCUCACCAGUCAAAAGAUGAUAACUAUAUCAAUGCAAAAGAUACUGUUAAAUUUCUGGAAGUGCUACUAAACAAAUAUCAGGGAUUACUAUAUGUAUAAACAUGUGUAUGAUAAUUAAAGAAAUAUGGUGUGCUAUUGUGGGAAAUAAAAGUAACGAUUAACCUUAAAGAUUCGGUUUACAUGUUGCAAAUAAAUCAUGAAUAUACAAAAUCUCAGCAAUUUCUAAGUUAGAUUAUAUAUUAAGUUGAAAGCUAUUCUAUUAAACUAUUUUGAUAAGAAAACAAUUAACAUGCUAGAAAAACAUGCAUUUUCUUUACCCUCUGAUUAAGUUAAUGAUAAAAAAAUCUUAUACAUUUGUUUUGUAAUACGGAAAUCAAUGUGUGGCUUAGCAGCCGAAUCGACAGAUAUACAAUGAUUUUAGUACUAAGUCUUCCGGACAGGACUGUACAUGUGGAGGCAAGUAAUAAUUGAUCAUUUAAAUGUAAGCAUUUUCAAUUUGAAAAUUAAACUCCAUCCAAAAUAUUUUUGUAAUUCUUAAUAUUAUUUAUUUUUUCUAUAUUUUAUGUGUGAUUUUGAAUUACAAUUUGUUUUACAGUAAAAUUUGUCUUAAAACGCCUAUGGUUGUCUUUUUUUCAGAUUUAUAUCUCUUAACUGUUAUUAUUUAUGUUUAUUGUUUAAAUUACGUCAUUUGUGACCAGUUAUCUAUCUUAUAAUAAAUUUUUGUAGGCUCA